UGGAGUCAGCUCAUAGAUGCUCUGAUUUUGUCUACCAUUGCUCCUCCUUAAUAUCUCUCGCACAGGUGCCAUUGACCUUUAGAUGGGCUGUACGGUGUGGGGUUCGGUGCCAUGGAUCUGCUUCUCCAGGGACCAGGAUCUUGAGAUCUUCAGGCUGGGUUUCCAUGGAGGCAUGGAGCUGCUUUUCCUCCUUCAUAACUGCACUCAAAACAGCCCUGUUGCUCUAGAAUGGAGACUUGGGCAACUCCUUCUGGCACAGAUUUGUUCACCUCAGGUGAAAUUCAGAUAGAAGCAAGCUGCAGGCAGUUUCACCUCUAAGUCCAUGGGUUCUCAACUGGUAACGUCCUCUUAUGGAUGUUAGCCCAUGAGGUCAAUCCUGUAGCAAUCUAAGGCUUGAGAAAAAUUAAUCUUCUGGAAAAUUCCAAGAAUACAUCUUAGGGAAACUGGCUCUACCUUUAUGACUUGGAUCACACAAGGAUAUGCUUUUCAUCUUGGACUAGAACUGAGAGCCAAUGGAUGUGUUAUCUAAAACUAUCCCAGUGUGUUCACUAUACAGAGGAAGAUUCUGAGAUUCAAGACUCAAGACUGAAGAAGAUCAUUAUUUUUAUUAUUUUAGUCUUAUGCACAAAAUGAUAUCUACUGAAUAAGCAGGUUUUUAAUAGGUGACUUAUAUAUGUUAGCAAAAAUAAACACUUUGUCUUUUAGAUCUAUUCUAGUUUUUCAGUAGCUGUAGACUUAAGUGCUAACUUUUAGCCCAUAGGAUAAGAAGAAACCAAGUCCUAAAAGUAGGCCAGCACCAGGGUUCAGGCCUCUGACUUCAAGCCAAGGGCUCAUCAUCUUGAAUUGCGCACGAAUUUUUACACAGCGCCAAAGGAAACUGCCUGUACUUACUGUUGUAGGUGCUUUGCUGGAUUCAGGAUGCA
This 923-nucleotide long non-coding RNA is filed under the name Homo sapiens (human). RNAcentral's name for it is "non-protein coding lnc-ZNF485-68:10". Lineage: Eukaryota; Metazoa; Chordata; Mammalia; Primates; Hominidae. The record is from RNAcentral.